RNAcentral lists this ribosomal RNA (274 nucleotides) under uncultured bacterium. RNAcentral's name for it is "partial 16S ribosomal RNA". It matches the Rfam family "Bacterial small subunit ribosomal RNA", at positions 523 to 796 of the family's 1533-position model. The record is from RNAcentral.
AUACGGAGGGUGCAAGCGUUACUCGGAAUCACUGGGCGUAAAGCGCGCGCAGGCGGCUAUUUAAGUUGGAUGUGAAAGCCUACGGCUCAACCGUAGAACUGCAUCCAAAACUAUUUAGCUAGAGUGUGGGAGAGGAAGAUGGAAUUAGUUGUGUAGGAGUAAAAUCCGUAGAGAUAACUAGGAAUACCAAAAGCGAAGGCAAUCUUCUGGAACAGUACUGCCGCUGAGGCGCGAAAGCGUGGGGAGCAAACAGGAUUAGAAACCCUUGUAGUCC